This 407-nucleotide ribosomal RNA is filed under the name uncultured bacterium. RNAcentral describes it as "partial 16S ribosomal RNA". It matches the Rfam family "Bacterial small subunit ribosomal RNA", at positions 30 to 526 of the family's 1533-position model. The record is from RNAcentral.
AUUGAACGCUAGCGGGAUGCCUUACACAUGCAAGUCGAACGGAGUGGCGAACGGGUGAGUAAUGUAUCUGAACGUGCCCAGUAGCGGGGGAUAACUCCGCGAAAGCGUAGCUAAUACCGCAUACUAUUGGAGCGGCCGAUAUCGGAUGAGCUCGUUGGGGGGGUAACGGCUCCCCAAGGCGACGAUCCGGAGCUGGUUUGAGAGGACGACCAGACAAACUGGGACUGAUACACGGCCCAGACUCCUACGGGAGGCAGCAGUGGGGAAUGUUUGACAAUGGGGGAAACCCUGAUCCAGCCAUCCCGCGUGUGCGAUGAAGGCCUUCGGGUUGUAAAGCACUUUUGGCAGGAAAGCGGUACCUGCAGAAUAAGCACCGGCUAACUACGUGCCAGCAGCCGCGGUAAUUC